This 427-nucleotide ribosomal RNA is filed under the name uncultured bacterium. RNAcentral describes it as "partial 16S ribosomal RNA". It matches the Rfam family "Bacterial small subunit ribosomal RNA", at positions 355 to 774 of the family's 1533-position model. The record is from RNAcentral.
UGGGGCCUCUUGCACAAUUUUCUCAAGCCUGCUUCCUCCAUGCCGCGUGUGUGAAGAAGGACAUCGGGUUGUAAAUCUUUAUCAGCGAGGAGGAAGGGUAGUGUGUUAAUAGCACAUUGCAUUGACGUUACUCGCAGAAGAAGCACCGGCUAACUCCGUGCCAGCAGCCGCGGUAAUACGGAGGGUGCAAGCGUUAAUCGGAAUUACUGGGCGUAAAGCGCACGCAGGCGGUUUGUUAAGUCAGAUGUGAAAUCCCCGCGCUUAACGUGGGAACUGCAUUUGAAACUGGCAAGCUAGAGUCUUGUAGAGGGGGGUAGAAUUCCAGGUGUAGCGGUGAAAUGCGUAGAGAUCUGGAGGAAUACCGGUGGCGAAGGCGGCCCCCUGGACAAAGACUGACGCUCAGGUGCGAAAGCGUGGGGAGCAAACA